AACACUCCGCAGGGUCCCGAGUAGGCAGUUGUGGUCCACAGGCCACUGGCAAACAGAGGCAGAGCCACAGAGGGGCUGCUCGUCCCCAAAUGUCUCUCCAGCCGCUCUGAAGCUGCUGCGGGCUGCUGUGCUGGUGAUGGCUGAGAUCAUGAGAUGAGCCCCGGGGGUCCCUGGGCAUCCCUGGGAGGUCCUGGUUUGUGUUGCUGUGGUGGUCUUAGUCAUUAAGAGAUGACACUUUAUAAAGAGGAAAAGAGCUUAGUAAAAGUGUUGUUCUCACCAGCAGGUCCAUGGAGAAGGUGGAACACUGGACUAAAGAGACAGGCUGAGGAAGCCCUCAAGUCACCCCUGAUGGAGGCCAGACCUUGAAUGUUACAAUCCCUCUGCUUAUCGACCCUUAAUAAAAAUCUGAGCAGGUCUUCUCUGCAGGACACAGGAGGCUUUCUGGAAAAAAAAACAUGGAAAAAAAGUCCGGAAGUGCUCGACCAAGAGAUCGCGAGAUGGGAGCAGAGAGUACAGGAAAGGAAGGAGGAGAAAGAAAGGCUGGAAACCUUUGAAUGCACAAAAAAAACAGGUCAUGAAAGAUACCACGAGCCAACUAAAAUCUCUGGCUGAAAAU
RNAcentral lists this long non-coding RNA (616 nucleotides) under Homo sapiens (human). Its description in RNAcentral is "HSALNT0404169". The record is from RNAcentral. Lineage: Eukaryota; Metazoa; Chordata; Mammalia; Primates; Hominidae.